RNAcentral lists this ribosomal RNA (468 nucleotides) under uncultured bacterium. RNAcentral describes it as "partial 16S ribosomal RNA". It matches the Rfam family "Bacterial small subunit ribosomal RNA", at positions 28 to 507 of the family's 1533-position model. The record is from RNAcentral.
GACGAACGCUGGCGGCGUGCUUAACACAUGCAAGUCGAACGGAAAGGCCCUGCUUUUGUGGGGUGCUCGAGUGGCGAACGGGUGAGUAACACGUGAGUAACCUGCCCUUGACUUUGGGAUAACUUCAGGAAACUGGGGCUAAUACCGGAUAGGAGCUCCUGCUGCAUGGUGGGGGUUGGAAAGUUUCGGCGGUUGGGGAUGGACUCGCGGCUUAUCAGCUUGUUGGUGGGGUAGUGGCUUACCAAGGCCUUGACGGGUAGCCGGCCUGAGAGGGUGACCGGCCACAUUGGGACUGAGAUACGGCCCAGAAUCCUACGGGAGGCAGCAGUGGGGAAUAUUGCACAGUGGGCGGAAGCCUGAUGCAGCAACGCCGCGUGCGGGAUGACGGCCUUCGGGUUGUAAACCGCUUUCGCAUGUGACGAAGCGUGAGUGAGGGUAAUGGGUAAAGAAGCACCGGCUAACUACGUG